RNAcentral lists this ribosomal RNA (1554 nucleotides) under Salmonella enterica subsp. enterica serovar Sloterdijk str. ATCC 15791. RNAcentral's name for it is "bacterial SSU rRNA". It matches the Rfam family "Bacterial small subunit ribosomal RNA". The record is from RNAcentral. Lineage: Bacteria; Pseudomonadati; Pseudomonadota; Gammaproteobacteria; Enterobacterales; Enterobacteriaceae.
UUAAAUUGAAGAGUUUGAUCAUGGCUCAGAUUGAACGCUGGCGGCAGGCCUAACACAUGCAAGUCGAACGGUAACAGGAAGCAGCUUGCUGCUUUGCUGACGAGUGGCGGACGGGUGAGUAAUGUCUGGGAAACUGCCUGAUGGAGGGGGAUAACUACUGGAAACGGUGGCUAAUACCGCAUAACGUCGCAAGACCAAAGAGGGGGACCUUCGGGCCUCUUGCCAUCAGAUGUGCCCAGAUGGGAUUAGCUUGUUGGUGAGGUAACGGCUCACCAAGGCGACGAUCCCUAGCUGGUCUGAGAGGAUGACCAGCCACACUGGAACUGAGACACGGUCCAGACUCCUACGGGAGGCAGCAGUGGGGAAUAUUGCACAAUGGGCGCAAGCCUGAUGCAGCCAUGCCGCGUGUAUGAAGAAGGCCUUCGGGUUGUAAAGUACUUUCAGCGGGGAGGAAGGUGUUGUGGUUAAUAACCACAGCAAUUGACGUUACCCGCAGAAGAAGCACCGGCUAACUCCGUGCCAGCAGCCGCGGUAAUACGGAGGGUGCAAGCGUUAAUCGGAAUUACUGGGCGUAAAGCGCACGCAGGCGGUCUGUCAAGUCGGAUGUGAAAUCCCCGGGCUCAACCUGGGAACUGCAUUCGAAACUGGCAGGCUUGAGUCUUGUAGAGGGGGGUAGAAUUCCAGGUGUAGCGGUGAAAUGCGUAGAGAUCUGGAGGAAUACCGGUGGCGAAGGCGGCCCCCUGGACAAAGACUGACGCUCAGGUGCGAAAGCGUGGGGAGCAAACAGGAUUAGAUACCCUGGUAGUCCACGCCGUAAACGAUGUCUACUUGGAGGUUGUGCCCUUGAGGCGUGGCUUCCGGAGCUAACGCGUUAAGUAGACCGCCUGGGGAGUACGGCCGCAAGGUUAAAACUCAAAUGAAUUGACGGGGGCCCGCACAAGCGGUGGAGCAUGUGGUUUAAUUCGAUGCAACGCGAAGAACCUUACCUGGUCUUGACAUCCACGGAAGUUUUCAGAGAUGAGAAUGUGCCUUCGGGAACCGUGAGACAGGUGCUGCAUGGCUGUCGUCAGCUCGUGUUGUGAAAUGUUGGGUUAAGUCCCGCAACGAGCGCAACCCUUAUCCUUUGUUGCCAGCGGUCCGGCCGGGAACUCAAAGGAGACUGCCAGUGAUAAACUGGAGGAAGGUGGGGAUGACGUCAAGUCAUCAUGGCCCUUACGACCAGGGCUACACACGUGCUACAAUGGCGCAUACAAAGAGAAGCGACCUCGCGAGAGCAAGCGGACCUCAUAAAGUGCGUCGUAGUCCGGAUUGGAGUCUGCAACUCGACUCCAUGAAGUCGGAAUCGCUAGUAAUCGUGGAUCAGAAUGCCACGGUGAAUACGUUCCCGGGCCUUGUACACACCGCCCGUCACACCAUGGGAGUGGGUUGCAAAAGAAGUAGGUAGCUUAACCUUCGGGAGGGCGCUUACCACUUUGUGAUUCAUGACUGGGGUGAAGUCGUAACAAGGUAACCGUAGGGGAACCUGCGGUUGGAUCACCUCCUUACCUUAAAGAA